Molecule: ribosomal RNA, 509 nt
Filed under: uncultured bacterium
Lineage: Bacteria
Description: bacterial SSU rRNA
Rfam family: Bacterial small subunit ribosomal RNA
Source: RNAcentral
CUGGCUCAGAACGAACGCUGGCGGCGCGUUUAAGCAUGCAAGUCGAGCGGCAAGGGCCUUCGGGCCCCUAGAGCGGCGGACGGGUGAGUAACACGUGGACAAUCUGCCCCCCGGCCCGGGAUAGCCCAGGGAAACCUGGAUUAAUACCGGAUGAGACGGGACCCGCGAUGGCGGGAUCCGGGAAAGGCGCUGCGGCGCCGCCGGGGGAUGAGUCUGCGUCCCAUUAGCUAGACGGCGGGGUAACGGCCCACCGUGGCGACGAUGGGUAGCCGGCCUGAGAGGGUGGACGGCCACAUUGGAACUGAGACACGGUCCAGACUCCUACGGGAGGCAGCAGCUAAGAAUCUUCCGCAAUGGGCGAAAGCCUGACGGAGCCGACGCCGCGUGAACGAAGAAGGCCGUGAGGUUGUAAAGUUCUUUUCGGGAGGGGGAACAACCGUGGCAGGGAAUGGCCGCGGGAUGACGUGAAUCCCGGAAUAAGCCCCGGCUAACUACGUGCCAGCCGCCGC